Molecule: non-coding RNA, 255 nt
Organism: Vicia faba (fava bean)
Lineage: Eukaryota; Viridiplantae; Streptophyta; Magnoliopsida; Fabales; Fabaceae
Source: the annotation of a GenBank genome assembly
AUGCUUAAGGCGACGCAACCGAAAGGAUUUGAUGAAUUUGUAAGAAUCGGAAGACAGUUCCCACACUGUGCAGUGCUGAUGAAAAUUGCCAUAGAAUCUCUCUGGCUCAGGCUCAGGCUCCAGGCUCGGGCUCGGGCUCAGGCUCAGGCUCAGGCUCAGGCUCAGGCUCAGGCUCAGGCUCAGGCUCAGGCUCAGGCUCAGGCUCAGGCUCAGGCUCAGGCUCAGGCUCAGGCUCAGGCUACAUUACACUUCUAA